CCAAAAUUGGGUUGUGGGGGGACAGUGUCCCCAAAAUUGGGCUGUGGGGGGACAGUGUCCCCAAAAUUGGGCUGAGAGGGGACAGUGUCCCCAAAAUUGGGCUGUGAGGGCACAGUGUCCCCAAAAUUGGGCUGUGGGGGGGACAGUGUCCCCAAAAUUGGGCUGUGAGGGCACAGUGUCCCCAAAAUUGGGCUGUGAGGGGACAGUGUCCCCAAAAUUGGGCUGUGGGAGGGCACAGUGUCCCCAAUAUUGGGCUGUGCAGGGACAGUGUCCCCAAAAUUGGGCUGUGGGGGGACAGUGUCCCCAAAAUUGGGCUGUGGGGGGACAUGUGCCAGGUGUGACAUCCCCAGUCCUGUGCCACUGCCCCAUGCUGUGUUCCUGUCCCCAACCUCUCUGCCACGUCCUCUGCUCAUGUCCCUGCUCUGUCCCUAUCCCAGUGCCCUGUCCCUUGUCCCCAUCCCUGUAUCGUGUCCCCUGUCCCAUCCCUGUCCCUUGUCCCCAUCCCUGUAUCGUGUCCCCUGUCCCAUCCCUGUCCCCAUCCCAGUGCCAGCUCCUUUGUCCUGUCCCUCCUCCGUGUCCCCUGUGUCCCCGCCCUGCCACCACCCUGUCCCAUCCGCCUGCCGUGUCCCUUGUCCCAUCCCUCUGCCGUUUCCUGUCCCCACGCCCUGCCAUCAUCCUGUCCUGUCCCUCUGCCAUGUCCUGUGUCCCUGUCCUGUCCCUCUGCCAUGUCCCGUGUCCCUGUCCCCAUCCCUCUGCCAUGUCCUGUGUCCCUGUCCUGUCCCUCUGCCAUGUCCCGUGUCCCUGUCCCCAUCCCUCUGCCAUGUCCCGUGUCCCCUGUCCUGUCCCUCUGCCAUGUCCCGUGUCCCCUGUCCCCGUCCCUCUGCCACGUGCCCCUGCCCUGCCAGCGCCCCGAGGUUCUGUCCCGUGCCAGCAGCCGGUGUCCCUGCCCUGUGCUGUCACCCUGUGUCCCCAUGCCGUGCCAGCUCCAGUGUCCCUGUCCCCCUGCCAUGCCCUGUGUCCCCAUUCCCCUGUCCCCAUGUGGUGGUGGCAGUGUCCCCUGUCCUCGCCUUGUUCCAUGCCACUGUCCCCGUGCCAUGUCCCCUGUCCCCAUUCCUUUCCUGUGCCACUGUCCCCUGUCCCCACACCUUUACUGUGCCACUGUCCCCUGUCCCUAUUCCUUUCCUGUGCCGUGUCCCCUGUCCCCACACCCUUACUGUGCCACUGUCCCCGUGCCAUGUCCCCUGUCCCCAUUCCUUUCCUGUGCCAUGUCCCCUGUCCCCCCGCCCGGGACCCCACCCUCAGCAGUGCCCCUGUCCCCGUGCUGCCCCCGUGCCGUGCCAGCCCCUGUCCCUGUCC
Molecule: long non-coding RNA, 1356 nt
Filed under: Lonchura striata (white-rumped munia)
Lineage: Eukaryota; Metazoa; Chordata; Aves; Passeriformes; Estrildidae
Description: domestica (Bengalese finch) lncRNA (ENSLSDG00000007630.1)
Source: RNAcentral